RNAcentral lists this ribosomal RNA (253 nucleotides) under uncultured bacterium. RNAcentral's name for it is "partial 16S ribosomal RNA". It matches the Rfam family "Bacterial small subunit ribosomal RNA", at positions 524 to 776 of the family's 1533-position model. The record is from RNAcentral.
UACAGAGGUCCCAAGCGUUGUUCGGAUUCAUUGGGCGUAAAGGGUGCGUAGGCGGCGCGGUAAGUCGGGUGUGAAAUCUCGGGGCUUAACUCCGAAACUGCAUUCGAUACUGCCGUGCUUGAGGACUGGAGAGGAGACUGGAAUUUACGGUGUAGGGGUGAAAUGCGUAGAUAUCGUAAGGAAGACCAGUGGCGAAGGCGGGUCUCUGGACAGUUCCUGACGCUGAGGCACGAAGGCCAGGGGAGCAAACGGG